This 518-nucleotide ribosomal RNA is filed under the name uncultured fungus. RNAcentral's name for it is "SSU rRNA". It matches the Rfam family "Eukaryotic small subunit ribosomal RNA", at positions 209 to 727 of the family's 1831-position model. The record is from RNAcentral. Lineage: Eukaryota; Fungi.
AUUAGAUUAAAAACCAAUGCCCUUCGGGGCUCUCUGGUGAUUCAUGAUAACUUCUCGAAUCGCAUGGCCUUGCGCCGGCGAUGGUUCAUUCAAAUUUCUUCCCUAUCAACUUUCGAUGUUUGGGUAUUGGCCAAACAUGGUUGCAACGGGUAACGGAGGGUUAGGGCUCGACCCCGGAGAAGGAGCCUGAGAAACGGCUACUACAUCCAAGGAAGGCAGCAGGCGCGCAAAUUACCCAAUCCCGACUCGGGGAGGUAGUGACAAUAAAUACUGAUACACGGUUCUUUCGGAUCUUGUAAUUGGAAUGAGUACAAUUUAAAUCCCUUAACGAGGAACAAUUGGAGGGCAAGUCUGGUGCCAGCAGCCGCGGUAAUUCCAGCUCCAAUAGCGUAUAUUAAAGUUGUUGUGGUUAAAAAGCUCGUAGUUGAACCUUGGGCCUGGCUGGCCGGUCCGCCUCACCGCGUGUACUGGUCCGGCCGGGCCUUUCCCUCUGUGGAACCCUAUGCCCCUUCACUGGG